RNA transcript from Tupaia belangeri chinensis (Chinese tree shrew), 4425 nucleotides. It is a transcript of the gene named small glutamine rich tetratricopeptide repeat co-chaperone beta, with no coding region annotated. The record is from RefSeq and is a predicted model, not a curated record. The transcript has 11 exons. Lineage: Eukaryota; Metazoa; Chordata; Mammalia; Scandentia; Tupaiidae.
ACGUGUUUAAGCUUCCAAAAUGUCAUCUAUCAAGCACCUAGUUUAUGCAGUUAUUCGUUUCUUGCGAGAACAAAGUCAGAUGGAUGUUUAUACUUCAGAUGAACAAGAAAGUUUGGAAGUUGCAAUUCAAUGCUUGGAGACAGUUUUUAAGAUCAGCCCAGAAGAUACACACCUCGCAGUUUCACAGCCCUUGACAGAAAUGUUCACAAAUUCCUUCUGUAAGAAUGACAUUCUGCCUCUCUCAAACUCAGUGCCUGAAGAUGUGGGAAAAGCUGACCAGUUAAAAGAUGAAGGCAAUAACCACAUGAAAGAAGAAAAUUAUGCUGCUGCAGUGGAUUGUUACACACAGGCAAUAGAACUGGAUCCAAAUAAUGCUGUAUAUUAUUGCAACAGGGCUGCUGCUCAAAGCAAAUUAAGUCAUUACACAGAUGCAAUAAAGGACUGUGAGAAAGCAAUAGCAAUCGAUUCCAAGUACAGCAAGGCCUAUGGAAGAAUGGGGCUGGCCCUCACUGCCAUGAAUAAAUUUGAAGAAGCAGUUACAAGUUAUCAAAAGGCAUUAGAUCUUGACCCUGAAAAUGAUUCCUAUAAGUCAAAUCUGAAAAUAGCAGAACAGAAGUUAAGAGAGGUAUCUAGUCCUACAGGAACUGGAUUGAGCUUCGAUAUGGCUAGCUUAAUAAAUAAUCCAGCCUUCAUUAGUAUGGCAGCAAGUUUAAUGCAGAAUCCUCAAGUUCAACAGCUGAUGUCAGGAAUGAUGACAAAUGCCAUUGGAGGACCUGCUGCUGGAGUUGGGGGUCUAACUGACCUGUCUAGCCUCAUCCAAGCGGGGCAGCAGUUUGCUCAGCAGAUACAACAACAGAAUCCUGAACUUAUAGAGCAACUGAGAAAUCAUAUCCGGAGCAGAUCGUUCAGCAGUAGCACUGAGGAACAUUCCUGACUUGACCAGGAACCCUAGCCCACAAUGCGAAUGGUUUAUGGUCCUGAAGUAUUCACUGUAGAUAAUGGCCAAAACCACCCAACCAACUAAACAAAGCACCAUAUCUGGUCUCAUAACGGAGGAGGACAUCUUCUGUACAUUCUUAAAAAAUAAAUCUGUUUAGACAAUAGUUUCAUCACAAACAGAUUUAAAACUAACACAACUCCUUUGGAAACAAAUGAGCAGUAGCCUUGUUAAGUGCCAGUAUAGCACUGCAACAGGGUUCCAUUUUCAAACUUUUAUCUUCCUAUUUGUAUAUUAGACUUCAUAGCAGAGUAUAUUUAUUGAACAGUACGACUGUUCAUUGGUGACUUUUUCAGUUCCAGUACCUUUAGAGUUUAUUGAGAGGUAGAUGACCAAAAGGAAGGAUUUCCCAUUCUGUUUAGAACAAACAGAUUUGCUACCUAGCAGCAUUUCAAGAGAGAAGAAAUUUCUUAUCUUGGUUUACCUGGGUCAGUAAUAAAUGUAUUACAUAGGUGCCAGUACUUUCUUUAAUGCUGCUUGAUCUGAUGAAAAGACAGGGAAUUGGAAGAGCUUGUAUAUAGAAGCAUUUGGUACAAGGAAUGUUUUGAAAAGAAAAAAUAAUGUGAACAUGUAGUAGAAAGGAAAGGUAGGAUGCUCAGGUUUUCUGCAUAGUUCAGAACUCAUUUUUGUCUGCAGUUUGGUAUUGAUAUUAGCAUGGCCAGUUAUGCUAAUACAUAAUAAAAUACAUUUAGAAAUCUUUAAUGAUUCUGGUUAGGUCAGUCAUAUAACUGUUUGACUUAAUCAUGACAGUUUUCCUGGUGGUAACCUUACCUUUGAAACAAUCAGAAACACCUAGAUUUAAGUAAGCCAGUGGCUUGGACCUAAGUUAAGGAUUUUCUGAGUGACAUUUUAUUAUGUAUGCAUAAACAUUAAUUUUCUAAAAACUUAGUAAUUAUUUGAUAGGUAACAAAAAAGCAUUUAUCACUAACAUUGCUUGCUCAUGUAGUCAUCUGCUAUAAUUUGGCUUGGCAUGCUAGUAUUAUGCUUAACCUUAAUUGGAUAUAAUUUAAACAUAAUAGGAGACUUUUUUGUUUAUUAAUCAUAAAAUUAGUGAAAUGAGGCUGACAUGUAACAAUCUCACAAGUUUUGUGAGGGAAAACUGAAGAAGAAAAUAAUACAAAUCAGUUGUAAUGGUGAUAAUCAGGGCCUACUAUAAAACUGUUCUCAAAAGACUAAUUAUUUGGUAUCCUGAAGCUUAAAAACCAACUUUUUAUUUCUUUGUGUGAAAUUAGAACAGUGGUUAUAUAAUUAUACUGUAAGAACCACCUGAGGAAUUUAUUAAAGAUGCAGAUUCAGGACACUUUUGUUUUGAUAUACUAGGUCCUACAAUAAAGCCUGGGAAUCACCAUUUUAAACAGUGCACUAGAUGGUUCUGAUGUAGGUCCAAGGACUCUAAUUUAAAGCAACACUAGGUUGGAGAUUUUUUCUUAAUUAGACCAGCAAUACCCAAGCACCUGGGCUCAGGCAAAAAUAAUUUUAGAUGAACCCAUAGUUCCAGCCUGAGAAGAACAGGAGUUAAAUCUUAGAUCAUCUUAAGUGAUAUCUCUUAGACUCUACCAAAAUGAACUCAGUGUUUCAUGAAGUUAGACUUAGCUCCUAGUGUCCAUGUGUUUAACAGAAUGAAGUACUGUUACUAAUCACAUGAACAUUCUAUCAUUUAAAAAGCAGCAGCAGAGUAGAUCCUUAAUUAAAAAUUAGGCACUCUUAUCUAGUGUUGAAGUUCAAGUUUCUAGCAAAACUAUUUUAAGUGCAUUAAAAAUGUUUUCAGAUCAAUAAAAUUGACAAGUCUCUAGCUGACUAGAAAAACUGAAGAAAAAUAAAAAUUAUUAGUAUCAGACGUGAAAGAGGGGAUAUAUAAUAGACCCUAUAGAUACAGGAUAAUCAGAAAAUACUAGACUAACUCUAGACUUAUAUAUUAAAACUUAACUUAGAUGAAAUAGACCAAUUCUUUUUAUAGAAAAACUACCAAAAAUCACUUUAGAAAUGGGGGUCUGAAUAGAUCUAUAUUUAUUAAGGAAACAGAAUUUGUACUUAAAACCUUACAAAAAGAAAAACAGGCUCAGAUGACUUAAGUGGAUUUUCUGAGUAACAUUUUAUUAUGUAUGCAUAAACAUAAUAAAAUCCUACCAAAUACUUAAGGGAGAAAUAAUAUCAAUUCUACACAAUCUUGUCCAAAAAAGAAGAGAAGGAAAAUCUUUGCAACUCAUUUUAUGUGGCUAGUAUUACCCUGAUAAAAUCAAAGACAUCAUAAGACAAACACUUUAAUAAUCUCUUCAUGUGCUAUUAUCUGUAAUGAAGUUGGCUAUUCCCAAUAAUUGGAAUUGGUAUUUCUUCCAUUUCACAUUUCUAGUUUGUUUCUUUGCUGAUAUAUCACUUAUAACAAAUUCAAUCCACAGAUAUCUGUCCACUUACCUGGAUUUCCAUUCUAUUCAGGCCAUUUUUGUUUUUCAGGUACCUUGAUCCAUUUGGAAUCACUGCUCACAAACUAUUUCUACUAAGUUUUGUGUGGUUGGGUUUGCUAGCUACUCAAAAUUGUAAGCAAUGCCCCAUAUAUUUUCUUGUCUGGAAAAUACUGUUGCUAUCUAACUAGAGAGACGAGGGGGGAUUAAAGAACAUCUUUAUAUACAUUCUACUUAGGGAUGCUUUACUUCCAUUAACCACAUUUCAUUGUUGUAUCUAUAGGUGUUAAAAUGCUAUGUAAAACUGAACAUGUCUUUUUAAUGCAAAUGACAUCUUUAUUUAAUAUACUAAGUUAUUUAGUUUUAAAACUAUAGUUUGAACAGAUCCAAUCUAAGAUGGCAUUAUCUAACCUUUAAAAUCAAUGCGUGUUACUGUUUAUAAACAAAAGAGACUCUGUAAUUAAAUCAAAGUACAUAGAAGAUUCCAAGUGAUCAUUCUGUUUUUAAAUUUGAAAUAGAGUUAAACAAAAGUUUUGGUCACAAGAAGAUACUUGAAAAAUGAUCAAAGUAUCCAGUAAAGUGGCUAUAAAGUCUGAUUUCAUCAUUUAAUCAGUCUUAAUCAUUUUGGAAGAAAGAUGACAUCAGUUUUACAUGGCUUGCACUUUAUUUUGCACAGACAUUUCAUUAACUGUUACUCCAGUAUGAGAUGCAAUCUUGAAUAUAGCUUUCAUUUCGGACCAAAUAAUUUGUCAUGGCAAUAAAUAAUUAUGCAUUUAAGAAAAAUCAAGUUUUGUAUUUGACUUAAUGUACUCUUACAUUUUUAAGGAAUUAUAUAUAUAUACAUUCUAUAAUUUCAACUUGCUAGAAUAGGACAGCUUUUAUUUAACAGCACAAGCUUUUAUUUUCCUGAAAAAAUAUUGAAACUUUUUGUUAGGUUCAUGUUAAAAAGUGGCUUACAACCUUUUUUUUUUUAAAGAAUUAUUUUAUUUAACUUUAUUUAUUUAAAUUUGACUAGAGAGGGACAGAAUG